RNAcentral lists this ribosomal RNA (254 nucleotides) under uncultured bacterium. Its description in RNAcentral is "partial 16S ribosomal RNA". It matches the Rfam family "Bacterial small subunit ribosomal RNA", at positions 524 to 776 of the family's 1533-position model. The record is from RNAcentral.
UACGGAGGGUGCAAGCGUUUGUCCGGAUUUAUUGGGUUUAAAGGGUGCGUAGGCGGCCCGGUAAGUCAGUGGUGAAAGCCUCCAGCUCAACUGGAGAACUGCCAUUGAUACUGCCGGGCUUGAGUACAGACGAGGUUGGCGGAAUUGAUUGUGUAGCGGUGAAAUGCAUAGAUACAAUCAAGAACUCCGAUUGCGUAGGCAGCUAACUAGGCUGUAACUGACGCUGAGGCACGAAAGCGUGGGGAGCGAACAGG